RNAcentral lists this ribosomal RNA (503 nucleotides) under uncultured Wolbachia sp. Its description in RNAcentral is "bacterial SSU rRNA". It matches the Rfam family "Bacterial small subunit ribosomal RNA", at positions 108 to 646 of the family's 1533-position model. The record is from RNAcentral. Lineage: Bacteria; Pseudomonadati; Pseudomonadota; Alphaproteobacteria; Rickettsiales; Anaplasmataceae.
GAGUAAUGUAUAGGAAUCUACCUAGUAGUACGGAAUAAUUGUUGGAAACGGCAACUAAUACCGUAUACGCCCUACGGGGGAAAAAUUUAUUGCUAUUAGAUGAGCCUAUAUUAGAUUAGUUAGUUGGUGAGGUAAAGGCUUACCAAGACAAUGAUCUAUAGCUGAUCUGAGAGGAUGAUCAGCCACACUGGAACUGAGAUACGGUCCAGACUCCUACGGGAGGCAGCAGUGGGGAAUAUUGGACAAUGGGCGAAAGCCUGAUCCAGCCAUGCCGCAUGAGUGAAGAAGGCCUUCGGGUUGUAAAGCUCUUUUAGUGAGGAAGAUAAUGACGGUACUCACAGAAGAAGUCUUGGCUAACUCUGUGCCAGCAGCCGCGGUAAUACGGAGAGGGCUAGCGUUAUUCGGAAUCAUUGGGCGUAAAGGGCGCGUAGGCGGGUUAAUAAGUUAAAAGUGAAAUCCCAAGGCUCAACCUUGGAACUGCUUUUAAAACUGCUAGUCUAGAG